AUUGAACGCUGGCGGCAGGCCUAACACAUGCAAGUCGAGCGGAUGAAGGGGGCUUGCUCCUGGAUUCAGCGGCGGACGGGUGAGUAAUGCCUAGGAAUCUGCCUGCUAGUGGGGGAUAACGUCCGGAAACGGGCGCUAAUACCGCAUACGUCCUGAGGGAGAAAGUGGGGGAUCUUCGGACCUCACGCUAUCAGAUGAGCCUAGGUCGGAUUAGCUAGUUGGUGGGGUAAAGGCCUACCAAGCCGACGAUCCGUAACUGGUCUGUGAGGAUGAUCAGUGACACUGGAACUGAGACACGGUCCAGAGUCCUACGAGAGGGAGCAGUGGGGAAUGUUGGACAAUGGGCGAAAGCCUGAUCCAGCCAUGCCGCGUGUGUGAAGAAGGUCUUCGGAUUGUGAAGCACUUUAAGUUGGGAGAAACGGCAGUAAGUUAAUACGUUGCUGUUUUGACGUUAGCAACAGAAUAAGCACCGGCUAACUACGUG
This 484-nucleotide ribosomal RNA is filed under the name uncultured bacterium. Its description in RNAcentral is "partial 16S ribosomal RNA". It matches the Rfam family "Bacterial small subunit ribosomal RNA", at positions 30 to 507 of the family's 1533-position model. The record is from RNAcentral.